GAGCUAACGCGUUAAGUCGACCGCCUGGGGAGUACGGCCGCAAGGUUAAAACUCAAAUGAAUUGACGGGGGCCCGCACAAGCGGUGGAGCAUGUGGUUUAAUUCGAUGCAACGCGAAGAACCUUACCUGGUCUUGACAUCCACGGAAGUUUUCAGAGAUGAGAAUGUGCCUUCGGGAACCGUGAGACAGGUGCUGCAUGGCUGUCGUCAGCUCGUGUUGUGAAAUGUUGGGUUAAGUCCCGCAACGAGCGCAACCCUUAUCCUUUGUUGCCAGCGGUCCGGCCGGGAACUCAAAGGAGACUGCCAGUGAUAAACUGGAGGAAGGUGGGGAUGACGUCAAGUCAUCAUGGCCCUUACGACCAGGGCUACACACGUGCUACAAUGGCGCAUACAAAGAGAAGCGACCUCGCGAGAGCAAGCGGACCUCAUAAAGUGCGUCGUAGUCCGGAUUGGAGUCUGCAACUCGACUCCAUGAAGUCGGAAUCGCUAGUAAUCGUGGAUCAGAAUGCCACGGUGAAUACGUUCCCGGGCCUUGUACACACCGCCCGUCACACCAUGGGAGUGGGUUGCAAAAGAAGUAGGUAGCUUAACCUUCGGGAGGGCGCUUACCACUUUGUGAUUCAUGACUGGGGUGAAGUCGUAACAAGGUAACCGUAGGGGAACCUGCGGUUGGAUCACCUCCUUACCUUAA
RNAcentral lists this ribosomal RNA (690 nucleotides) under Shigella flexneri. RNAcentral describes it as "bacterial SSU rRNA". It matches the Rfam family "Bacterial small subunit ribosomal RNA", at positions 848 to 1533 of the family's 1533-position model. The record is from RNAcentral. Lineage: Bacteria; Pseudomonadati; Pseudomonadota; Gammaproteobacteria; Enterobacterales; Enterobacteriaceae.